GAGGGUGUAGUGAAAUGGUAUCACGCUGGUCUCCAAAACCAGAAGCAGGAGUUCGAUUCUCCUCACCUUUGCCA
Molecule: transfer RNA, 74 nt
Filed under: bacterium
Lineage: Bacteria
Description: tRNA-Trp
Rfam family: tRNA
About the family: Transfer RNA (tRNA) molecules are approximately 80 nucleotides in length.
Source: RNAcentral